UUUACAUUCUAUUCAUAUUUAAAAGAACUAAAUGUUGAACUAGAACUUAUGACCUUUUGCUGAUUGCUGAAAAGUAAAUUUACAACAAAAAUUGAUGAAAAUAACAUAAAAAUGAAUGAUUGCACCUCUUCAAGUUCUACAGAAUUAUUAAAUGAAGGAAUCUGCUUCAGAAUUGCUGACUGCAUGUCGCUGCAACAUCUGUGCUACAAAGUUUGACUGUUUAAAAUAUUGAAAAGUUUGGAUUAGGGGACUAUUUGGAGCGUCGGCAGUGCAGUUGGCGCUUGACCGGAUCAUAUUUUACAUAUCCAGGUACGAUCUCCGCUAUAUACUAUAUACUAUGAGUUCUUCGAAUUUCAUGAUAACAUCCAUCAG
Molecule: long non-coding RNA, 372 nt
Organism: Papilio xuthus (Asian swallowtail)
Lineage: Eukaryota; Metazoa; Arthropoda; Insecta; Lepidoptera; Papilionidae
Exons: 3
Source: RefSeq, a predicted model, not a curated record